AUGACCAAGAAAAAAAGGAACUAUUAUCUGUUGUAUGGGGAGGAAGAGCCUACGAGAAGUAUACAAAACAAUAGUUGUAUUGGAAAGGUCAUGUUCUUGAUAGCUGUUGCUAGGCCGAGGUGGGAUAGUGAAGGAAAUGUGACCUUCUCUGGAAAAAUUGGAAUUUGGUCGUUUGUGAAAGAAAUUCCAGCUCAGAGGAGAAACGACAACAGGCCAAGAGGAACAUUGGAGACAAAGUCCAUAAAAGUCAACAGGCAAGUAAUGAGAGAGUUCAUGAUAGAGAACCUACUGCCAGCAAUACAAGCAUCUUGGCCUGAGAAUGAUGCUGGGCAAAUCAUCUACAUAUAA
Molecule: ribosomal RNA, 348 nt
Filed under: Triticum aestivum (bread wheat)
Lineage: Eukaryota; Viridiplantae; Streptophyta; Magnoliopsida; Poales; Poaceae
Description: partial small subunit ribosomal RNA
Source: RNAcentral